Molecule: ribosomal RNA, 468 nt
Filed under: uncultured bacterium
Lineage: Bacteria
Description: partial 16S ribosomal RNA
Rfam family: Bacterial small subunit ribosomal RNA
Source: RNAcentral
GACGAACGCUGGCGGCGUGCUUAACACAUGCAAGUCGAACGGAAAGGCCCUGCUUUUGUGGGGUGCUCGAGUGGCGAACGGGUGAGUAACACGUGAGUAACCUGCCCUUGACUUUGGGAUAACUUCAGGAAACUGGGGCUAAUACCGGAUAGGAGCUCCUGCUGCAUGGUGGGGGUUGGAAAGUUUCGGCGGUUGGGGAUGGACUCGCGGCUUAUCAGCUUGUUGGUGGGGUAGUGGCUUACCAAGGCUUUGACGGGUAGCCGGCCUGAGAGGGUGACCGGGCACAUUGGGACUGAGAUACGGACCAGACUCCUACGGGAGGCAGCGGUGGGGAAUAUUGCACAAUGGGCGGAAGCCUGAUACAGCAACGCCGCGUGCGGGAUGACGGCCGUCGGGUUGGAAACCGCUUUCGCCUGUGACGAAGCGUGAGUGACGGUAAUGGGUAAAGAAGCACCGGCUAACUACGUG